AGUAAUAACCAGGGUCUCUUCUUCCACUCUCUAUUUGUUCUUCCCUUUCUUCUUUCCCUCUCCACGUAGUCUCUGUCCAUGGAAGAAGAAUUCAAUCGGAAAUCGCCAAGAUUUUCAAGGAAUAGAAGAAAGGCAGUGAAAUUCUCAAGUAUGUUCAAGGGGUUAAACUUUGCAUUUCUUAUAUUCCUCACUUCUUGGAGUUUAAAAAGGUAUUGUAUUUCUACCCAAUUUCUUGUUUUCAAUUUUCUUGAAUUAGGCUUUGGUUCUUGAUAUAGUAUAGGGAACAAGUGAAUCUUGGAGCAGUACAAUUUGAUUACUCAACAUAUGAACUCUUUUUGUCCCAUGGUUUCUUGGUAUGAUGAGUUACCCGCUUCUUUUUGUUCUUUCUUGCAUUGUUCUUUUUCUCAUGUUUGCUUGAGGAGUUAACCGAUUCUUUUUCCCUUUCUUGUUCUUUUUUCUUUUUUCUAUUGAGGACACCUUGAAUCUUGGAAAAUCCACUAAGGUAGUGCUUUUGCUGACAAGACUGUUUUGGGCUAUCUUCUGGAGUUUUCAACACCUCUUAUCUUGGAGUUCUGCAUGAAGAUGAUGAUUGUUUCAUUGUAUGCCAAGGCUGACGUUAAAUUGAAGUUGAAGAUGUCUCAACACAAGAGAAGAAUUUUUCCUUCCGUAAGACGAGUUGAAGGACGUCUGCAGCUAUCUAAUGUUAACAUACAUUGUUGUAAAUUAGAAUACUUUGUUCAAGGGAGCCUUGGCCUUCUCUGUAAAUUUGCAUAGUGUGUUGUAAAAUGAAAUGAAAAUUUUCUUCCAA
Molecule: long non-coding RNA, 808 nt
Organism: Sesamum indicum (sesame)
Lineage: Eukaryota; Viridiplantae; Streptophyta; Magnoliopsida; Lamiales; Pedaliaceae
Source: RefSeq, a predicted model, not a curated record